GGACCACUAGCUCAGUUGGUAGAGCAGCUGACUCUUAAUCAGCGGGUCUGCGGUUCGAGCCCGCAGUGGUCCACCA
Molecule: transfer RNA, 76 nt
Filed under: Bacillota bacterium
Lineage: Bacteria; Bacillati; Bacillota
Description: tRNA-Lys
Rfam family: tRNA
About the family: Transfer RNA (tRNA) molecules are approximately 80 nucleotides in length. Their secondary structure includes four short double-helical elements and three loops (D, anti-codon, and T loops).
Source: RNAcentral